AAUAACAGCCAGGGGGCCGCUGUUCCGCAGGGGACAGAGGAACUUCCGGACUUCACAGGGCGCCGUGCCGCGCGAAAGCGCGGGGGUUUCGGGCUAAAAUCCGAGACCACGGAAAGUGCAACAGAAAAUAUACCGCCGCGUCGUAGCGUAAGCGAAGACGGGUAAGGUUGAAAAGGUGCGGUAAGAGCGCACCGCGCUUUUGGCGACAAAAGCGGCACUGCAAACCCCGCGGGAAGCAAGGCCAAAUAUGCGCAUAUGCUGCCCGCAUUCGCCGCAGAGUAGGCCGCAAAGAGUAAUGGUCCCCGCCGUCACGGCGCAAGCCGCAGCGAAACAGAAUCCGGGGUACAGGCUGUUAAAAAAA
Molecule: RNase P RNA, 361 nt
Filed under: Candidatus Elusimicrobium euhamitermitis
Lineage: Bacteria; Pseudomonadati; Elusimicrobiota; Elusimicrobia; Elusimicrobiales; Elusimicrobiaceae
Description: RNase P RNA component class A
Rfam family: Bacterial RNase P class A
About the family: Ribonuclease P (RNase P) is a ubiquitous endoribonuclease, found in archaea, bacteria and eukarya as well as chloroplasts and mitochondria.
Source: RNAcentral